UGCAUUAUGUUCCUUGUUUUAAUUCCUUAAUAAAGGCCGGCUGGCUUUUUCCUCCCUUGCCAUCAAAAAGAAAAAAAAUCUAUAAAACUUGAUUGGGUCGCGGCUAUGGUUCGAAGAAAUCGACAUAGUUGUUUUGCUUGUAGACAUGGAUGAAAGACAAGGAUUUGAAGGAUUCCAGACAAAGGAUCCGCAUAGAAAGAUCCUUCCCUUCCGAACAGAG
RNAcentral lists this long non-coding RNA (220 nucleotides) under Elaeis guineensis (African oil palm). RNAcentral describes it as "long non-coding RNA (EGUI_LNC017853)". The record is from RNAcentral. Lineage: Eukaryota; Viridiplantae; Streptophyta; Magnoliopsida; Arecales; Arecaceae.